This 543-nucleotide ribosomal RNA is filed under the name uncultured bacterium. RNAcentral's name for it is "partial 16S ribosomal RNA". It matches the Rfam family "Bacterial small subunit ribosomal RNA", at positions 355 to 888 of the family's 1533-position model. The record is from RNAcentral.
UGGGGAAUUUUGGACAAUGGGCGAAAGCCUGAUCCAGCAAUGCCGCGUGUGUGAGGAAGGCCUUCGGGUUGUAAAGCACUUUUGUCCGGAAAGAAAUCCUCUGGGUUAAUACCUCGGGGGGAUGACGGUACCGGAAGAAUAAGCACCGGCUAACUACGUGCCAGCAGCCGCGGUAAUACGUAGGGUGCAAGCGUUAAUCGGAAUUACUGGGCGUAAAGCGUGCGCAGGCGGUUUUGUAAGACGGAUGUGAAAUCCCCGGGCUUAACCUGGGAACUGCAUUCGUGACUGCAAGGCUAGAGUAUGGCAGAGGGGGGUAGAAUUCCACGUGUAGCAGUGAAAUGCGUAGAGAUGUGGAGGAAUACCGAUGGCGAAGGCAGCCCCCUGGGCCAAAUACUGACGCUCAUGCACGAAAGCGUGGGGAGCAAACAGGAUUCAGGAUACCCUGGUAGUCCACGCCCUAAACGAUGUCAACUAGUUGUUGGGGAUUCAUUUCCUUAGUAACGUAGCUAACGCGUGAAGUUGACCGCCUGGGGAGUACGGUCG